UGGGCCAAGCCAUUGAGGGGAAGUCCUUAGAGCAUAUCGAUCUUGCUUUGGCUUCUGCAGGGGAUCCAUCUCAUGUAGCUUCUUAGCUUCUUUCACAUAAGAGCUUCCAUCUAGAAUGUGCUCCAUAAUGGCAGCAGCCUCGAUUUGGCCAGGAUGGUGCUUCAAUUUGUGAGUCAAGUGGUCAGUGAAUUCAGGCUUCCCCUGCAUCACUUCAGCGAAAAUAGCAGAUAAAACUUCAGACAACACCGCCAGAACAUUGGCCUCGAAAAGCACCAUAGAGGCCAAACCAGAGCCAACUGCAGUGCCAUUAACAAGAGCCAGGCCUUCCUUGGGCUGCAGCUCAAAAAAUCCGGACUCAAUUCCAGCCAUUUUAAAGGCCUCUUCAGCAUUGACAACUUCACCGGUAGGUCCAACAGCUUUGGAAUUAGGCCUGCCAGUGAGAAGACCGGCAAUGUAGGAGAGAGGAACCAAAUCUCCAGAGGCAGUGAUGGUGCCACGCAGAGGCAAGCUUGGAGUGAUGUUGUGGUUGAGGAGCUUGGUUAUGGCUUCCAGGAUCUCAAAUCUGAUGCCGGAGUAGCCUUGGAGGAGGGUGUUGAUCCUCACUAGCAUGGCAGCUCUUGUUGCUGAGUG
Molecule: long non-coding RNA, 630 nt
Filed under: Vitis vinifera (wine grape)
Lineage: Eukaryota; Viridiplantae; Streptophyta; Magnoliopsida; Vitales; Vitaceae
Description: long non-coding RNA (VVIN_LNC002530)
Source: RNAcentral